GGGGGGAGCACCGGAUCCUAGGCUGUGUCCCCUGGUGCCCUGGGCUCCGGGGCCUGCCUGUGCCACUGGAAUCGCCCUCCCGGGUGCGCAGCUCCCU
RNAcentral lists this microRNA precursor (97 nucleotides) under Canis lupus familiaris (dog). RNAcentral's name for it is "mir-8799 microRNA precursor family". It matches the Rfam family "mir-8799 microRNA precursor family". RNAcentral also lists the same sequence under 1 other name. The record is from Rfam by way of RNAcentral. Lineage: Eukaryota; Metazoa; Chordata; Mammalia; Carnivora; Canidae.